CGAAAAUAUAAAUAAAAUUGCUGUAUGAACUUUAAUUCGGAUUACCGUACGUCCUCAUUUAUCCGGACAGACCAUUUUGGAGUAAAAAUUAUUGUCCGCAUUUCCAGUGAUUGGAUGUUGAUUAUUUUGAGUUGUGUUUGAUCGCAACAUUUCCCAAUGAGAACUUUGUUUACAUAAUCUUAUGUUCCCGGCUACAUAAAUGAUGCGACAAGGCAACUGACUCAAGCACAAAAUGAAAGAGAUGGCCAAAAUGUUCAGGAGGAGAAAAAAUAAUAAGCCGAAUACAACGAAGUUCCUCAAAUGUACUUUAAAGUUGUUUUAUAAAUACUGUGAUUCAUACAGGAGUGCCAACGCUAGAAGUGCUCUCUAUUGGCAAUCGUUCUGGAAACAUGAGCAGCAAAAGUCUAUUUUGCUUCAGCGUAGGUUUCCAUGGAAUUGGCACUGGUAGUAAAACAUUUUUUACUUAUUAUAACUAAAUAAAUUAUAUAUCGUAAGGAAUGGUAUAUAAAAUUGCAGGAUUUUCAAAACGUCCAUCAUAUGACGAUGUAGUUAGUUUUGAUAGCCGAUGAUG
Molecule: long non-coding RNA, 571 nt
Organism: Centruroides sculpturatus (bark scorpion)
Lineage: Eukaryota; Metazoa; Arthropoda; Arachnida; Scorpiones; Buthidae
Exons: 3
Source: RefSeq, a predicted model, not a curated record